This 85-nucleotide transfer RNA is filed under the name SAR86 cluster bacterium. RNAcentral describes it as "tRNA-Asp". Lineage: Bacteria; Pseudomonadati; Pseudomonadota; Gammaproteobacteria. The record is from RNAcentral.
GAGGUUAUUAGUAAGCUGUAAACAAUAUCUUUUCUCCGGCCUGUCACGCCGGAGGUCGCGAGUUCAAGUCUCGUCACUCGCGCCA